GGCAGGCCUGAGUGCCAGGCCUGAGUGCCAGGCCGACCGCAGCUGGAGAGCCCCUCUUCCCACUCCUGCCUGCCCUCCCGCUCCGGAUCAGCGCCUUACAACUCUUCACUUUGAAGUGCGUGUUGUGCCCUUGUCUCCGGAGACGCCAAGAGUCCUCCAGGCCCCUCGAGCGAAGUGCAGCCUGACCCAAUUUCUCUGGCCCUACUUUUAUCUCCGCAUCCACGACCCACCCUCCAAGACCCACCUUCUAUGGGCGUGGAGCCCCCGUAGGCUUCAAGGACUCACCACAGGAUUUCCACCAGUCUGAAAUCCUGAGCAACCCCAACGAUCUGCUGCUCAGAUCCCUGCGGGCUGCUGGCGACACAGACCCUGCCACUGCAGCCAGACUUCCUCCGCGCUGCUGGCGCUGGCAACACUCGGCCUACCCGUGACCCCUGCGCGCGCCCGAGCGCCCCGGGAUGGCCUUUAUCCGUCAGGGAUUUUACUUAGCAAUUAAAUAAGUUUGCAGGAUUUCUUGCCGGAGACCCAAGGCCUGUACUCAGGAUCUUGGCUCGGUCUAAACUCUCUGAAUAAAAUUAAAGCGUGUAUUGAAGAUGAUGUGGGAGGGAUGGGUCCAAGGUUCCCUCUGAUCUCUACAUGCUUGAAAAACCAGAACCACCGGUAUGAAGUCGCCGUGUAAAAAUUUCUCAGACCUGGGACAGGUUCAAGCCAGGCCUUGGAGACUGCUCUCCAGGACGCCAUCCGAGGGGCUCCUAGAGCAGUUUUCUAAGGACUCAGGAGAGAGCUGAAAAAUCCUAAAAGAGUGGGGAAUUUCUGAUUCUCCUGCUAGGUUUCUGAAAAAGGAAAAAAAAAAAAAAAAAAAAG
Molecule: long non-coding RNA, 864 nt
Filed under: Rattus norvegicus (Norway rat)
Lineage: Eukaryota; Metazoa; Chordata; Mammalia; Rodentia; Muridae
Description: long non-coding RNA NONRATT017093
Source: RNAcentral